RNAcentral lists this ribosomal RNA (383 nucleotides) under uncultured bacterium. RNAcentral's name for it is "bacterial SSU rRNA". It matches the Rfam family "Bacterial small subunit ribosomal RNA", at positions 355 to 729 of the family's 1533-position model. The record is from RNAcentral.
UGGGGAAUUGUUCGCAAUGGGCGCAAGCCUGACGACGCAACGCCGCGUGGGGGAUGAAGGUCUUCGGAUUGUAAACCCCUGUCGAACGGGACGAAUGGCCCCUGAGUUAAUACCUUGGGGGAUUGACGGUACCGUUAAAGGAAGCCACGGCUAACUCUGUGCCAGCAGCCGCGGUAAUACAGAGGUGGCAAGCGUUGUUCGGAAUUACUGGGCGUAAAGGGCGCGUAGGCGGCCUUCUAAGUCAGACGUGAAAUCCCCCGGCUCAACCUGGGAACUGCGUCUGAUACUGGAAGGCUUGAGUGCGGGAGAGGGAUGCGGAAUUCCAGGUGUAGCGGUGAAAUGCGUAGAUAUCUGGAGGAACACCGGUGGCGAAGGCGGCAUCC